GACGAACGCUGGCGGCGUGCCUAAUACAUGCAAGUAGAACGCUGAAGAGAGGAGCUUGCUCUUCUUGGAUGAGUUGCGAACGGGUGAGUAACGCGUAGGUAACCUGCCUUGUAGCGGGGGAUAACUAUUGGAAACGAUAGCUAAUACCGCAUAACAAUGGAUGACACAUGUCAUUUAUUUGAAAGGGGCAAUUGCUCCACUACAAGAUGGACCUGCGUUGUAUUAGCUAGUAGGUGAGGUAAUGGCUCACCUAGGCGACGAUACAUAGCCGACCUGAGAGGGGGGUCGGCCACACUGGGACUGAGACACGGCCCAGACUCCUAAGGGAGGCAGCAGGAGGGAAUCUUCGGCAAUGGGGGCAACCCUGACCGAGCAACGCCGCGUGAGUGAAGAAGGUUUUCGGAUCGUAAAGCUCUGUUGUAAGUCAAGAACGGGUGUGAGAGUGGAAAGUUCACACUGUGACGGUAGCUUACCAGAAAGAGACGGCUAACUACGUG
RNAcentral lists this ribosomal RNA (497 nucleotides) under uncultured bacterium. RNAcentral's name for it is "partial 16S ribosomal RNA". It matches the Rfam family "Bacterial small subunit ribosomal RNA", at positions 28 to 507 of the family's 1533-position model. The record is from RNAcentral.